This 253-nucleotide ribosomal RNA is filed under the name uncultured bacterium. RNAcentral's name for it is "partial 16S ribosomal RNA". It matches the Rfam family "Bacterial small subunit ribosomal RNA", at positions 524 to 776 of the family's 1533-position model. The record is from RNAcentral.
UACGUAGGGUGCGAGCGUUAAUCGGAAUUACUGGGCGUAAAGCGUGCGCAGGCGGUUAUGUAAGACAGAGGUGAAAUCCCCGGGCUCAAACUGGGAACUGCCUUUGUGACUGCAUGACUAGAGUACGGCAGAGGGGGAUGGAAUUCCGCGUGUAGCAGUGAAAUGCGUAGAUAUGCGGAGGAACCCCGAUGGCGAAGGCAAUCCCCUGGGCCUGUACUGGAGCUCAUGCACGAAAGCCUGGGGAGCAAACAGG